AAACAGGUUAAUAUUCCUGUACUUGGUGUUACUGCGAAGGGGGGACGGAGAAGGCUAUGUUAGCCGGGCGACGGUUGUCCCGGUUUAAGCAUGUAGGCGGAGGUUCCAGGUAAAUCCGGUACCUUUUAACGCUGAGGUGUGAUGACGAGGCACUACGGUGCUGAAGUAACAAAUGCCCUGCUUCCAGGAAAAGCCUCUAAGCAUCAGGUAACAUUGAAUCGUACCCCAAACCGACACAGGUGGUCAGGUA
This 250-nucleotide ribosomal RNA is filed under the name Klebsiella aerogenes. RNAcentral describes it as "partial 23S ribosomal RNA". It matches the Rfam family "Bacterial large subunit ribosomal RNA", at positions 1422 to 1673 of the family's 2925-position model. The record is from RNAcentral. Lineage: Bacteria; Pseudomonadati; Pseudomonadota; Gammaproteobacteria; Enterobacterales; Enterobacteriaceae.